AACGAACGCUGGCGGCAUGCCUAACACAUGCAAGUCGAACGAGACCUUCGGGUCUAGUGGCGCACGGGUGCGUAACGCGGGGGAACCUGCCCUUAGGUUCGGAAUAACUCCCCGAAAGGGGUGCUAAUACCGGAUAAUGUCUUCGGACCAAAGAUUUAUCGCCUUUGGAUGGGCCCGCGUUGGAUUAGCUAGUUGGUAGGGUAAAAGCCUACCAAGGCGAGGAUCCAUAGCUGGUCUGAGAGGAUGAUCAGCCACACUGGGACUGAGCCACGGCCCAGACUCCUACGGGAGGCAGCAGUGGGGAAUAUUGGACAAUGGGCGAAAGCCUGAUCCAGCAAUGCCGCGUGAGUGAUGAAGGCCUUAGGGUUGUAAAGCUCUUUUACCCGGGAUGAUAAUGACAGUACCGGGAGAAUAAGCUCCGGCUAACCCCGUG
RNAcentral lists this ribosomal RNA (433 nucleotides) under uncultured bacterium. RNAcentral describes it as "partial 16S ribosomal RNA". It matches the Rfam family "Bacterial small subunit ribosomal RNA", at positions 29 to 507 of the family's 1533-position model. The record is from RNAcentral.